AGUGAACGCUGGCGGUAGGCCUAACACAUGCAAGUCGAACGGCAGCACAGUAAGAGCUUGCUCUUACGGGUGGCGAGUGGCGGACGGGUGAGGAAUACAUCGGAAUCUACUUUUUCGUGGGGGAUAUCGUAGGGAAACUUACGCUAAUACCGCAUACGACCUACGGGUGAAAGCAGGGGAUCUUCGGACCUUGCGCGAUUGAAUGAGCCGAUGUCGGAUUAGCUAGUUGGCGGGGUAAAGGCCCACCAAGGCGACGAUCCGUAGCUGGUCUGAGAGGAUGAUCAGCCACACUGGAACUGAGACACGGUCCAGACUCCUACGGGAGGCAGCAGUGGGGAAUAUUGGACAAAGGGCGCAAGCCUGAUCCAGCCAUACCGCGUGGGUGAAGAAGGCCUUCGGGUUGUAAAGCCCUUUUGUUGGGAAAGAAAAGCAGCAGGUUAAUACCCCGCUGUUCUGACGGUACCCAAAGAAUAAGCACCGGCUAACUUCGUG
This 492-nucleotide ribosomal RNA is filed under the name uncultured bacterium. RNAcentral's name for it is "partial 16S ribosomal RNA". It matches the Rfam family "Bacterial small subunit ribosomal RNA", at positions 29 to 507 of the family's 1533-position model. The record is from RNAcentral.